RNAcentral lists this ribosomal RNA (406 nucleotides) under uncultured bacterium. Its description in RNAcentral is "partial 16S ribosomal RNA". It matches the Rfam family "Bacterial small subunit ribosomal RNA", at positions 30 to 526 of the family's 1533-position model. The record is from RNAcentral.
AUUGAACGCUGGCGGCAGGCCUAACACAUGCAAGUCGAGCGAGCGGCGGACGGGUGAGUAAUGUCUGGGGAACUGCCCGAUGGAGGGGGAUAACUACUGGAAACGGUAGCUAAUAACGCAUACUAUCAGAUGAACCCAUAUGGGAUUAGGUAGUAGGUGGGGUAAAGGCUCACCUAGGCGACGAGUCCUAGCUGGUCUGAGAGGAUGAACAGCCACAUGGGGACUGAGACACGGCCCAGACUCCUACGGGAGGCAGCAGUGGGGAAUAUUGCACAAUGGGCGCAAGCCUGAUGCAGCCAUGCCGCGUGUAUGAAGAAGGCCUUAGGGUUGUAAAGUACUUUCAGCGGGGAGGCGUUACCCGCAGAAGAAGCACCGGCUAACUCCGUGCCAGCAGCCGCGGUAAUUC